Monodelphis domestica (gray short-tailed opossum) is the source of this 3350-nucleotide long non-coding RNA. RefSeq lists it as uncharacterized. The record is from RefSeq and is a predicted model, not a curated record. Lineage: Eukaryota; Metazoa; Chordata; Mammalia; Didelphimorphia; Didelphidae.
UACAAUGAUCUCUGAUCCCAAUUCCAAAUCAUUGAUCCUAUAACUGUGAAAGUUCCUUCCAAUUUUAAAUCAAUGCUCCUACGUUUGUUUAACUGAGGAAUGUCACACAUGGUAGAAUCCAAAUGCAAAAGGUUGUUUAGGGAAGAGGGGCUUUCCUGGUCCCAUAAAUCACAACAAUAUGGUUAUCUGGAUUCUCCCUAAUUCUAUUACUCAAAGGGGCACAGGAUUUGUGGUCCCUAGAAAUCUCUUUCCCCCACAAUAUAAAGGAGACCUGAUAUUAAUCUGACACCAACAGUCUGAAAACCAUGUGAGAAGUAGUCAGAAGGAAGCUUACCUUUGGUCCUCUAUAAAACAAGAAGCUCAGACAAGAUGAUUCCUAAGGCUUAAAUUUUAUGAUGGGAGGAUUGGGGAAGAGUUGAUCAGGUCACCCUUGAUCAUUCCAUUCCCUGUUCUCAGCACAAUUGAAAAAUGUCAAAAAUUAACAGAGAUGAUCAAGUUUAAACAUAUUAAAUGGGAUGCAAACAGAUGCCCAUGUCUUGUCAGCCAUUAUGAAGUGGAAAGUAUUCCCCGUCAGAUUUGGGGGCAUUGCUCUGAUCCGGCCCCAGGUGGCCUUGAUGAAAUCACUUAGGUGGUUCUGGAAGCCACAAGGGGUCGGAAUAAUUUCAUGAAGUGUGAGCCCUGGCAGCUUGAUAAAGAGCUAGUUAUGGAGAAAGAAGCCAGCUCCUAAGAGAUGAUCCCCGCCUUUACCUCUCAGUGAUUUCCACCAAAAGAUCAGUAACAGCAAUAUUAUAGAAUGAUCAAUUGUGAUAGACUCAGCUACUCUCAGCAAUACAAUGAUCCAGGAUAAUUCUGGGGGACUUAUGGCCAAGAAUGCUAUUUACCUCCAGGGAAAGGACUGCUAGAUUUGGAAUGUAGAUGAAAGCAUAUGAUUUUCCACUUGUUUUUUGUUUGUUUGUUUUGGGGUUUCGGUUUUAUAUGAUUAUUCAUUUAUAAAAAUAGUUUGCCAGCUUCAUGAGGGAGAAGGGAAGGGAUGGAGGAAGAUAAGUUCAAGCAUAUAACUUUGGAAAAUUUAUGUGGAAGUUUGUUAUUAAAUGUAAUUGGUUAAAAAAAUAAAAAUAAGAACAGUUAACAGACCCAGAGACUUCAGAGGGGCAAUGGAGGUGACUCCAUGGAAUAGAACCCCUGGAAACAGAGAAGAAAUCUAACUGCAGAUCCAAGACAGAAUUAGUUUCAGAACUCAGGAGUUGAUCUUCAAAGACGAGUGCAUCCAAGGAGACCAAAUGAGCAAUCUGCCCAGAAGAAACUCUGCAUCUUAAGGGGAGCAGCAUGAGGACACCAUGGGAAGAGGCAGGUAGGAUAGAGCAUGGAGCCUAGGAUUAAGACUACCUGAGUUCAAAUCCAGCCUCACACCCUUACUGGCCAUAUGGCCUUGGGCAAGUCACUUACCUUCUAUUUGCCUCAGUUUCCUCAUCUGUAAAAUGACCAUCAGAGUAGCAUCUACCUCUUAAUGUUGUUAUAAGGAUCAAAAGGGAUGAUAACACAUUCUGAUCUUGGAAGGCCCCUUGGUCUUCAUGAUUGAUCCAUUAUGAAGAGGAAAGGAGAAACAUGGAUAUAAGUUGCUUUUGCCAUGUUCAUUCCCUAUUUAUGUGCCUCACCAUCAGAUUACCUGAAGUAUGUGCCCAUUCUUCUCACUAAAACUGUGGGUAAUUGUAGGCCUUAUAAGGGGAAUGUAUUCUAGCUACUGCUUUUACCAUGCCUUUUGCUUUGAGCUAAUCAUGUCCACUGGCUGAUUGUUAAAGGUCGAUGCAUCAGAGUGGGCUCUUGAGGCACGGUUUUAGAAGUGCUGCAGACCCACAGAGUACCAGAGGUGGGUGUCCUCUAGGAUUGAAAGAGGACGCUCUCUUCUCUCCUCUCCUGCCCCAGUGUUCUUUGUCUCAGCUUCUCUCUCAGCUCUGACAUGCAUACUCUCUCUUUCUCCUAUCUCCCAACCCCCCAUUGUCUCUUCCCUCUCUAGGACCCUCCCCUACCACCCACAUCUUCAGUGGAACACAUGUUGCCAUCCUCAUAAACACACUCUGAUCUUGGAAGGCCCCCCUGGUCUUCAUGAUUGAUCCAUUAUGAAGAGGAAAGGAGAAACACAGAUCUUUCAUUAAUCCCCUGCUUUAAUUAAUUAUUAUAUUGGCUUUCAACUUGGGUGGGGGAGAGGGCAUCCCUUAAAACAGGGUGUUUUUUUUUAAUUUUUAAAAACCUACCACAUUCUCUCUUCCACAAAAUAUGAGGCACCUCUUUUAGGGCUUUGGGGGUUAUUUAUUGCAGGGGAGAGAAAUAUAAUGGGGAGGGGGAGAGACUUAGGGGACAACUUUUACAUUUCAAUGGGAUGCUGAAGGCAUAGGAUAUGCUGACAAAGCAUGCUGUGUGGCUUUUCUUCAGCCAGGACGGCAUUAUUUUUCCAAGAUCAUCAUUUUAGGGUACUGAAAGACACCCCAGAAAUUGUUUAGCCACUUCUCUGAAUCCUCUUUUGCAAAGUAGGAAAUCAAGACCCAUACAGGUCCCCCAAUUAUUUGGGGGGGGCAAAGUCACGAUUCAGACCUAGCUCCCUCAAUGCCCAAUCCAACACUUUCCUCUGGAUGCUGAAGAGCAUAUUCUUUUUCAGACACAGGCUAAUACUGGCUGAGGUCCUGUCUGUACUCUACAUAAUCCACAGAGACCUUCCUUAAAGGCACAUCUGACCACAUCACUCCCCACCUCAGCAAACUAGUGGCUCUUUCCUGCCUCUAUGACAAGACAGAAACUCCUCUGUCCAUCCUUGGAAAACUCUUCACCACCUGGUCCCAACCUAGCUUUCCAACUUCACUGAUACUACUUCUCCUCGGUGGAUGACUCUAUGACUCAGCCAAACUGUCCUUCUCUUUAUUCUUUGAACAUGCAUCAUUCAGAGAAGAUGUCCAGAAGAGGUUCAUAGGAUUUUCUGGACUGCCAUGGGGUCCACAAUUCCAUAAAGGUUAAGAACUCCAUCACUAAAAAAUUAGGCUGAAGGCUCAUGAGCUCGAUGGGGGCGAUGGAUGAGAUCAUCUCUCAGUUCUUGGGUGCUCUGACGCAUUGUGUCUAAGGCAGAGUCCAUGAGUCUAGGGAAGAGGCACUGACCCAAACCUUCCACCAGAUGGCGCCAUGAGGCAACAUUCGCACCUGCAGCUCUCCUCAGCAUCAGCAUCCAAUCCCUACACUGAUGCCAGGUGGAUCUGUCUCCCUGCCUUUGUCUUCUCAGGGUUGUUCAGAACCAUCAAAGCCCAGAACUGUCACUUCAGAACACCCCACACUGUAGCCCUGUAAUAAAACGGGUCUUAAAAUCA